GAUGAACGCUGGCGGCGUGCCUAAUACAUGCAAGUCGAGCGAACAGACGAGGAGCUUGCUCCUCUGACGUUAGCGGCGGACGGGUGAGUAACACGUGGAUAACCUACCUAUAAGACUGGGAUAACUUCGGGAAACCGGAGCUAAUACCUGAUAAUAUAUUGAACCGCAUGGUUCAAUAGUGAAAGACGGUUUUGCUGUCACUUAUAGAUGGAUCCGCGCCGCAUUAGCUAGUUGGUAAGGUAACGGCUUACCAAGGCAACGAUGCGUAGCCGACCUGAGAGGGUGAUCGGCCACACUGGAACUGCGACACGGUCCAGACUCCUACGGGAGGCAGCAGUAGGGAAUCUUCCGCAAUGGGCGAAAGCCUGACGGAGCAACGCCGCGUGAGUGAUGAAGGUCUUCGGAUCGUAAAACUCUGUUAUUAGGGAAGAACAAAUGUGUAAGUAACUAUGCACGUCUUGACGGUACCUAAUCAGAAAGCCACGGCUAACUACGUG
RNAcentral lists this ribosomal RNA (497 nucleotides) under uncultured bacterium. RNAcentral describes it as "partial 16S ribosomal RNA". It matches the Rfam family "Bacterial small subunit ribosomal RNA", at positions 28 to 507 of the family's 1533-position model. The record is from RNAcentral.